This 443-nucleotide ribosomal RNA is filed under the name uncultured bacterium. RNAcentral describes it as "bacterial SSU rRNA". It matches the Rfam family "Bacterial small subunit ribosomal RNA", at positions 355 to 796 of the family's 1533-position model. The record is from RNAcentral.
UAGGGAAUAUUGGGCAAUGGAGGCAACUCUGACCCAGCCAUGCCGCGUGUAGGAAGAAUGCCUUAUGGGUUGUAAACUACUUUUGAUCGGGAACAAAUGCCAUUUGCGAAUGGAGCUGAGUGUACCGAUAGAAUAAGCACCGGCUAACUCCGUGCCAGCAGCCGCGGUAAUACGGAGGGUGCAAGCGUUGUCCGGAUUUAUUGGGUUUAAAGGGUGCGUAGGCGGUUAAUUAAGUCAGUGGUGAAAUCCUGGAGCUCAACUUCAGAACUGCCAUUGAUACUGGUUGACUUGAGUACAGACGAGGUUGGCGGAAUUGAUGGUGUAGCGGUGAAAUGCAUAGAUACCAUCAAGAACACCGAUUGCGAAGGCAGCUAACUAGGCUGUAACUGACGCUGAGGCACGAAAGUGUGGGGAUCAAACAGGAUUAGAUACCCCUGUAGUCC